This 373-nucleotide ribosomal RNA is filed under the name uncultured Antarctic bacterium. RNAcentral's name for it is "bacterial SSU rRNA". It matches the Rfam family "Bacterial small subunit ribosomal RNA", at positions 1024 to 1396 of the family's 1533-position model. The record is from RNAcentral.
GGACAAUUUACAAGGUGCUGCAUGGUUGUCGUCAGCUCGUGCCGUGAGGUGUCGGGUUAAGUCCCAUAACGAGCGCAACCCCUAUUUUUAGUUACCAGCGAGUAAUGUCGGGAACUCUAGAAAGACUGCCUGUGUAAACAGUGAGGAAGGUGGGGAUGACGUCAAAUCAUCACGGCCCUUAUGUCUUGGGCUACACACGUGCUACAAUGGUUACUACAGUGGGCUGCCAUCUGGCAACAGAGAGCAAAUCCAUAAAGGUAAUCCCAGUUCGGAUCGGAGUCUGCAACUCGACUCUGGGAAGUUGGAAUCGAUAGUAAUCGUAUAUCAGCAAUGAUACGGUGAAUACGUUCCCGGGCUUUGUACUCACCGCCAG